GCCAUUAUCGACAUUCUGAUAAAAGAUUUUCCUGUAUAAAAAUCCCACACUAGUAGUCCUCUCCGGGUGGCUGCAUAUUAUUUUUAGUGUUCAUAUACAAUGAGAAACAAUUCUCUUUCAAUUCUUGCUUUCUUUCUCAUUAUUCUUUCAAGUUUUCUGGUUGAAAUCCAUGGAAACAAGCAAUCAGAAGCACUUGGAAAACUCUACAAUGCAAAGUUCAGAGGCAAUUCUGGCAUAGAUGUUAGUCUUUUUAAUGGAGUUAAUCCUGUAAGUGAAUCAAGAAUUCAUCCUCAGGAUGGAUUGAAAGAACAAGACAGAAUUGUGAAGCUUCCUGGACAACCAAAUGCACAGUUUUCUCAAUAUGGUGGUUAUGUUACCGUCGAUAAAUCAGCCGGCAGGGCUUUCUACUACUACUUUGCUGAGGCUGAUCAUUAUUCUCAAUCUAAAGAGUCUUUGCCUCUUCUUCUCUGGCUCAAUGGAGGUCCUGGUUGUUCAUCUUUGGGGUAUGGUGCAUUUCAAGAAUUGGGACCAUUCAGAGUGUAUAGCGAUGGCAAAUCACUUUACAGAAACAGAUUCUCAUGGAAUUAUGCUGCAAAUGUUUUGUUUCUUGAGUCUCCUGCUGGGGUAGGGUUUUCGUAUUCGAAUACGACGUCGGAUUAUGGCAAGAAUGGAGACCAAAGAACAGCUGAGGAUAAUUAUGUUUUCCUGUUAAAUUGGCUGGAGAGAUUUCCUGAAUACAAGGGAAGAGAUUUCUACAUUGCUGGGGAGAGCUAUGCAGGACAUUAUGUGCCUCAACUUGCACAUACAAUUCUCUCCCAUAACAAAAUUGCUAAUAAGACCCUUAUCAACCUCAAAGGAAUUCUAAUUGGGAAUGCAGUGAUCAAUGAUGAAACUGAUACUCUUGGGAUGUAUGACUACAUGGGUUCCCAUGCCAUAAUUUCGUAUGAGGCUGCCCAAAAAAUCAGGGAAAAUUGUGAUUUCUCACCCAAUGCUACCGCUCAGUCUGAGGCAUGCAAUUCAGUUGGCGAUCAAGUAAACAAGGCACUUUCUUAUAUUAAUAUAUACGACAUCUAUGCCCCAUCCUGCUUCAGUACCAGCACCACUGCCAAACCCAAGAGAGCUUCUUUGGUAGAUUUUGAUCCAUGCUCGGAUUAUUAUGUUUAUGCUUAUCUCAAUCGACCUGAGGUUCAUGAAGCCAUGCAUGCCAAUGUAACAAAACUUGAUCAUGAUUGGGAACCUUGCAGUGAAGUCAUCACUAACUGGUCUGACAGCCCUUCAACAAUUAUUCCACUCCUUAAAGAGUUCAUGGCUAAUGGACUUCGUGUGUGGAUAUUUAGUGGUGAUACAGAUGGAAGGGUGCCAAUUACUUCAACUGAGUAUUCUAUUGCUAAAAUGAAUCUUGACAUCAAAACUGAAUGGCAUCCUUGGUACCUCAAAAGGGAGGUAAAUCAUUUUCAAUUUUACUAUUAUCCAUUCAAUUUUUUCUCAAAAAAUAUAUAGAAAAUGACUUUUGUUUUGGGAAUUUUUAGGUUGGAGGGUAUACACAGGUUUACAAGGGAGAUUUGACAUUAGCUACUGUGAGAGGGGCAGGGCAUCAAGUUCCAAGCUAUCAACCUCUGAGAGCACUUUCAUUGAUCAAGCACUUCCUGGAUGGCACAUCUCUUCCUGAUACUACAAGAUAUAGUUAAUUUAUCUCUAAUUUUAUUUGCUUAAUUAGUUAAUUUGCUUAGGAUUUAGAAAUUAAAUUUGGUUUUAUUAGUUGUCUAAUACUUUUUUUAUUCUGCAAUUAAUUUAUUCCUUUAAAUUAAAGGAAAGCAAAUCUGUUUAUUUAGAGCAAAGCUUUUGAAUUGUCUUUCUUUAAAAGAUUGAACCUCUUUCUGUCCCAAUUUUAGAAAGCUG
This 1899-nucleotide unclassified non-coding RNA is filed under the name Hevea brasiliensis (rubber tree). The record is from RNAcentral. Lineage: Eukaryota; Viridiplantae; Streptophyta; Magnoliopsida; Malpighiales; Euphorbiaceae.